This is a long non-coding RNA of Syzygium oleosum, 638 nucleotides long. RefSeq lists it as uncharacterized. The transcript has 2 exons. NCBI's taxonomy places the organism in Eukaryota, Viridiplantae, Streptophyta, Magnoliopsida, Myrtales, Myrtaceae. The record is from RefSeq and is a predicted model, not a curated record.
UGACGAACAAUCAAGUUGAUUAUUACACACUAGAGAUAACAAAAUCCACAACACCAUCAUCGAGGGAUGAAGCUAAAUCUGGCAAGAUAAUUAGAGCCACAUUGGGGAACCUAACUCUAUCACUACAGUAGUUGUAGAUGGUGAACUUCUCUCGGACCCACUGCAAUCUCCGGAACUGCUCAGCGUCAAGGUCCUGGAACUCCUUCUGGUCCCACCACCGCUUGCCCUGGGUGUCGCAGAACUUGGCUUCAACUGAGGCCUCGCAGCCAUCGACAUGGAAGCUCUUGUAGGAGGCCAUGAACGGGGCCUUGGCCCAGUCGGUCUUCUCGAGCCCCCCGCGUGUGGCCCAGUCGUCGGCGUUCCACAGGCUCGAGUAGAUCUUCAUCGGCUGGUCGAAGGGGAACUUCACCCCGAGGUCCUUGCUGUUCUUGAACACUCUUAUGGGCACAUCAUCCACAAAAAACCUAUUGGGUACAUCACAUUUCCGAGACACAAUUAGACCGAAAUAUUUCAUUUAGGAUAAAAAAAUAUCUGUGGUUCAAAGAUUGUAGAACGGCAUCAGAUCAAACAGAGUAUGUGCCAAGUGCAAUUAGAAGAUAUAACUUGACUUUAGUUUCAUAAAAGUCGGAAUCUUUAAA